UGAAAAUGAUAGUUUCAAAGCACACGAGGGGAAAGCUCUAUAUAACACCAAGAUAAGCAACUAGGUGAUCCAAACGAAUAUACUAAAUUUUCAAAACUUGAAGACAUAAUAAAAGUAUCUCAAGGAUGAAAAGACUUGAAAUUAUUCAAUGAUCUUCUUAAAGCCAAACUCAAUAAGAUCCAUUGAUAAUUUCAAUGGUAUUCCAAGUAGGUAAAAAUGAUCUUAGAUCUUGCACAGAGAAAGU
RNAcentral lists this long non-coding RNA (244 nucleotides) under Carica papaya (papaya). Its description in RNAcentral is "long non-coding RNA (CPAP_LNC011196)". Lineage: Eukaryota; Viridiplantae; Streptophyta; Magnoliopsida; Brassicales; Caricaceae. The record is from RNAcentral.